UACGUAGGCAGCGAGCGUUGUUCGGAGUUACUGGGCGUAAAGAGUGCGUAGGCGGUCGGCCGUGUCUGGUGUGAAAUCUCCCGGCUUAACUGGGAGGGUGCGCCGGAAACUGGCUGGCUUGAGUGUGGGAGAGGAAAGCGGAAUUCCUGGUGUAGCGGUGAAAUGCGUAGAUAUCAGGAGGAACACCUGCGGUGUAGACGGCUUUCUGGACCACGACUGACGCUGAGGCACGAAAGCGUGGGGAG
RNAcentral lists this ribosomal RNA (245 nucleotides) under uncultured bacterium. RNAcentral's name for it is "partial 16S ribosomal RNA". It matches the Rfam family "Bacterial small subunit ribosomal RNA", at positions 524 to 768 of the family's 1533-position model. The record is from RNAcentral.